CUCCUCAUUACAGAUCAUUGAUGGUUUGGAGGUUAGUUCAGACCAAUUUUUCUAUGAUUCCAUAUGAAUUGAAAAUCAAAUUGGUGUACCUAUAUAAUAAAGAAGGAUACGGCUACAAAAUAAACACAAAAUGGAAAUGUUUGUCUUGAUCAUAAAAAAACGUAGUUGAAAAAACUGUCAAAAUAGGUGCAAUUUGGGUACCGUCACGUUAACUUUUGGAC
This 221-nucleotide long non-coding RNA is filed under the name Mytilus galloprovincialis (Mediterranean mussel). Lineage: Eukaryota; Metazoa; Mollusca; Bivalvia; Mytilida; Mytilidae. The record is from RNAcentral.